RNAcentral lists this ribosomal RNA (449 nucleotides) under uncultured bacterium. Its description in RNAcentral is "partial 16S ribosomal RNA". It matches the Rfam family "Bacterial small subunit ribosomal RNA", at positions 29 to 523 of the family's 1533-position model. The record is from RNAcentral.
AACGAACGCUGGCGGCAUGCCUAACACAUGCAAGUCGAACGAGACCUUCGGGUCUAGUGGCGCACGGGUGCGUAACGCGUGGGAAUCUGCCCUUGGGUUCGGAAUAACAGCGAGAAAUUGCUGCUAAUACCGGAUGAAGUCUUCGGACCAAAGAUUUAUCGCCCAGGGAUGAGCCCGCGUAGGAUUAGGUAGUUGGUGGGGUAAUGGCUCACCAAGCCGACGAUCCUUAGCUGGUCUGAGAGGAUGAUCAGCCACACUGGGACUGAGACACGGCCCAGACUCCUACGGGAGGCAGCAGUGGGGAAUAGGGUACAAUGGGCGAAAGCCUGAUCCAGCAAUGCCGCGUGAGUGAUGAAGGCCUUAGGGUUGUAAAGCUCUUUUACCAGGGAUGAUAAUGACAGUACCUGGAGAAUAAGCUCCGGCUAACUCCGUGCCAGCCGCCGCGGUAA